AGAAGAAGCUCCGGCUAACUUCGUGCCAGCAGCCGCGGUAAUACGAAGGGGGCUAGCGUUGUUCGGAAUUACUGGGCGUAAAGCGCGCGUAGGCGGAUUGGAAAGUUGGGGGUGAAAUCCCAGGGCUCAACCCUGGAACUGCCUCCAAAACUAUCAGUCUAGAGUUCGAGAGAGGUGAGUGGAACUCCGAGUGUAGAGGUGAAAUUCGUAGAUAUUCGGAAGAACACCAGUGGCGAAGGCGGCUCACUGGCUCGAUACUGACGCUGAGGUGCGAAAGUGUGGGGAGCAAACAGGAUUAGAUACCCUGGUAGUCCACGCCGUAAACGAUGCACACUAGGU
Molecule: ribosomal RNA, 339 nt
Filed under: uncultured Phaeocystis
Lineage: Eukaryota; Haptophyta; Phaeocystales; Phaeocystaceae
Description: partial Bacterial small subunit ribosomal RNA
Rfam family: Bacterial small subunit ribosomal RNA
Source: RNAcentral